GGAGAGAUUCUGUAUGACCUAUUUAUGCCAUAAACAGAACAAUCAUAUACCAAGGAGACAAAGGAUUUCAUGUUUUCUAAGAUUGGCAAAGUCCAGCUAUCCCAUCUUUGGGUUACGAAGUCGUUGUUGCCAAGGAAAAUCAUCCUUGAUGUGUAGCUUGAAGUUUCAAAGUCAUGCCAUCCUGUUGAGGGUUGCAAAGUCUUUGUUUCUGUAUUAUUAAAUACAUGACUAGAAUGAAUGAAAAAUAUCAACUACUAAAUUGAAUGUCUAGUGAAACAUAUACUGCUAAUUAUAAGAGUCAACCGAGACAAUUCCCUAUAUCCUUUGUUGAAUCAAAAAAUCUAUACCACAAUAAUAAAGAAAAGAUAAUGAUCUUUAAGGCUCCUCAAUUAUAGGAGUGAUUACCAAUCAGCUAGACGUAAGGUGCUACCAAACGUCUAGCAACAAGCCUUAUGGUUGAGUGUCUGAAUAUAUAUUACUUGAAAAUAUAGUGCAAAAUUCAUUAAAUAUAAUGGAGUGUAUUUGUACUUAAUUAUAUACAUAUAUAUAAUAUAACUUGAAGAACUUAGAAUGAAAACAUGUUGAGAGUAUCUUAAAACAAUUCAAAACUUUAGUUGAUAAUUCAUUAGAUAUAAAGUCUGUAUUAUAGUGUUUCAUAAGUAUAUAAGUAAUAUAUUACAUAAAGUUUAUUCAUUUGGAGAUAUUUCAUAAAAAAAAAUCACCAUGUGAGAUCAUGAUGCCCAGUUUCAUGUACACACAUUAGAAAAGGAUAUUCUUAUAAUCAGCCAAGGUUAGAACUAUGUAUGUUGAUUAAAAUUCAUACCUCUUUGGUGAAAUUUUCUGGGACAAUAUAGUUAUGGAGCUUGGGUUAUUUGAUCCCUUGUUCUCCUAGUACUAAAUAUACUCUUAAAAGCAUACUAAUACUCUAUAACAUCUCUGAAUCAUACAUUUGAGUCUAUGCUCAAUAUACAUGUAUAAUGCACUGUAGUUAACCUUUUCUCAAUUAUAUGUCAUGACUUAUAUGCAUAAAAUCCAUGUAUCAAAAAGUGUGUCUUUUUAAUAAACAAAUCAUAAUUAAUAACUAAAUCUCUAAAGCAUGAGUUCUAAUGCAUAUAAUAGAAUUUGGUAUAGUCGUCAUAAGAUCAUUACAAACACUUUUCAUCAAACUAAAAUUAAAUAUGUAAGGAAAGAAACUUUGCUGAUGUAUGCAUAAAUAAUAGAUUUUAUCAUAAUUUUAUGAUAUCUUGAACAUACUUGGUGUUCCACCUAAGCACAUGCACAAAUGUACAUGGUCUCACCAAUUAAUAUUGUUUCCUUUAAUAAACCAAGUAUCGAUCCCUCAGAGACUUGUGCAAGGGCAUAGACGUGAGCAAUGUUGUAACAAAACUGUUUAUCUUUUUGUGGCUCCAUAAGUUUUUGACUUAUAAAUCAAAAUAGAUACUACGAAAUUAUCUCUAGCGGGAGGGAAAUUUAAGCUCCCUUGGAAAAUUUUACAUGCCAUGUGCUGAAAGCUAUUUGCAUUCAUCAUUUGUAAACUUGUGUUAUCUAGAACUUGCCUUGUUUGUUGUUUAAGGCUAAAUUUAAUUGUAUUUGUUUGGAGAAAUGAUCUUAGGAUAAUUUUUGGAAUUGGAAACCCACUCUAGCCUAAAAAUCCUACUCAUGCAUGAAUACAAUCCCUAGUCACCCACUUCAUGCCUAAGGACCUUUCUUUGGAAAACUCAUUACAAACCGUGAACCAUUCUUAUAUCCCUCUUUUAAAACACACCCUUCUUGAAUUUAAAAAUUAAACUUGAGGCUAAACCCUAAGAUAGACAUAGUAAAGAUUGACAGAAGUAAGUUUGGGGCCACGAAGUUGUAAAUGAAAUACCUAUUGUGCCUUAGCAUUGAAAGAAAAUGAAUAGAAAAAAAAGGAUCAAACAAAGGAAUGAAUUGCACUAGAGUGCAAGAAAAAGAAAUAAAAGAAAAUUGGUGAACAAGGAAGGCAAAAGGUAGGCAUAAAAAAUGAGAGAAAACAAAGAAGAGUGGCCCAUAGUAAAAAAAGUGGAUUGAAAAGUUUUAUGUAGAUGUUCAAAGAAGGGUGUAUCCAUG
Molecule: long non-coding RNA, 2088 nt
Filed under: Capsicum annuum
Lineage: Eukaryota; Viridiplantae; Streptophyta; Magnoliopsida; Solanales; Solanaceae
Description: long non-coding RNA (CANN_LNC010079)
Source: RNAcentral